GCCACGCUUAAAGUGCGUGGAGCUAACGGAGACCCCCUUCCCGCUAUGCGCAACCCUGUACUCUGCUGGGUGGCCCUUUGUCUCCUCAGAGCAGGACCCGUGGAUGGUGGCGUCACUCAAACUCCAAAGUUCCUGCUCGGAAAAGAAGGACAGGAUGUGAACCUGGGGUGUGAACAGAAUUUGGGUCAUGACGCCAUGUAUUGGUACCGGCAGGACCCAGGGCAAGGGUUAAAACUGAUCUACUACUCAACGGUUGCAAAGGAUGUCCAGAAAGGAGACCUAGCGGAAGGCUAUGCUGCCUCCCGGGAGCAGAAGGCUGCCUUUCCUCUCACCGUGACAUCAGCCCAGAAGAAACAGACUUCUCUCUAUCUCUGUGCCAGCAGUUUAGCACAGUGGGGCACAGCCACCUCUUCUCUGUGCAGUUAA
Non-coding RNA from Sciurus carolinensis (gray squirrel), 426 nucleotides. The record is from the annotation of a RefSeq genome assembly. Lineage: Eukaryota; Metazoa; Chordata; Mammalia; Rodentia; Sciuridae.